This 28-nucleotide non-coding RNA is filed under the name Rattus norvegicus (Norway rat). The record is from RNAcentral. Lineage: Eukaryota; Metazoa; Chordata; Mammalia; Rodentia; Muridae.
UGUGCAUCUCUGUGUGGCUCUGUGCAGU